AUUAUAGGUAUUGAUUGCUAUUACUUUUGCAGGAGCUAUGACGUCAUUCCUUGUGGCAACCACUGGAAUAUUACAGGGCUGAUCUUCCCCAAGAGUCCACAUCGACGGGAAGGUUUGGCACCUCGAUGUCGGCUCUUCGCCACCUAGAGCUAUAGGUGGUUCCAAUGGCUGGGUUGUUCGUCCACUAAUGUGGUACGUGAGCUGGGUUCAGAACGUCGUGAGACAGUUCGGUCCAUAUCCGGUGUGGGNGUUAGAGCAUUGAGAGGACCUUUCCCUAGUAUGAGAGGACCGGGAAGGACGUACCAGUUAUCGUGCCUACGGUAAACUGGGUAGCCAAGUGCGAAGAGGAUAACUGCUGAAAGCAUAUAAGUAGUAAGCCCACAAGCAUCACUUUCCACAAAUAGUACCCAACGUUUGUCCUAGCUGGGAAAUCUAGAGAGAGCUAUUCUAGAUAGAGGGCUCNGGGGNACGAG
This is a non-coding RNA of Oryza barthii, 473 nucleotides long. Lineage: Eukaryota; Viridiplantae; Streptophyta; Magnoliopsida; Poales; Poaceae. The record is from Rfam.